This 429-nucleotide ribosomal RNA is filed under the name Verrucomicrobiota bacterium. RNAcentral describes it as "Verrucomicrobia bacterium partial 16S ribosomal RNA". It matches the Rfam family "Bacterial small subunit ribosomal RNA", at positions 355 to 776 of the family's 1533-position model. Lineage: Bacteria; Pseudomonadati; Verrucomicrobiota. The record is from RNAcentral.
UGGGGAAUCUUCCGCAAUGGGCGAAAGCCUGACGGAGCAACGCCGCGUGAGUGAAGACGGCCUUCGGGUUGUAAAACUCUGUGAUUCGGGACGAAAGAUAAGCAGACGAAUAAUCUGCAUAAGUGACGGUACCGAAAAAGCAAGACACGGCUAACUACGUGCCAGCAGCCGCGGUAAUACGUAGGUGGCAAGCGUUGUCCGGAAUUAUUGGGCGUAAAGCGCGCGCAGGCGGCUACUUAAGUCCAUCUUAAAAGUUCGGGGCUUAACCCCGUGAUGGGAUGGAAACUGAGAAGCUGGAGUGUCGGAGAGGAAAGUGGAAUUCCUAGUGUAGCGGUGAAAUGCGUAGAGAUUAGGAAGAACACCGGUGGCGAAGGCGACUUUCUGGACGACAACUGACGCUUAGGCGCGAAAGCGUGGGGAGCAAACAGG